This is a small nucleolar RNA of Pipistrellus kuhlii (Kuhl's pipistrelle), 118 nucleotides long. RefSeq annotates it as small nucleolar RNA SNORA26. The transcript has a single exon. Lineage: Eukaryota; Metazoa; Chordata; Mammalia; Chiroptera; Vespertilionidae. The record is from RefSeq and is a predicted model, not a curated record.
GUGAAAAACAUAUGCAGUGCCUUAAGAUGCUAACAUAGAAGGAUAAAAAGAAAAUCUUGAUAAAACCCAAAAAAAAGAUGGUAAAAUUCCCCUUUGGAUCCUAUCUGGAGUCGCAGCU